RNAcentral lists this unclassified non-coding RNA (364 nucleotides) under Hevea brasiliensis (rubber tree). The record is from RNAcentral. Lineage: Eukaryota; Viridiplantae; Streptophyta; Magnoliopsida; Malpighiales; Euphorbiaceae.
GGUUUGGACUCUAUCUUUAGCUUUAAUUCAUCUAAUAAUUCGGAUGUUUCGCAAUCCGUAUCGGUCGAUGAGGGUGGUAAUUUCAGUACACCUGAGAAUCAUAAUAAUAACAACAACAACAAUGCUGGGAUUUAUCAAGUUGAAAGCAAGCCAAAUUUGCCUGAUUUCAAGCCAGAAAAUGGGAAUUUUCAAGAGGAGAGUAAGCAAAAUAUGGAGACACAACAAGUGCCUUUAACUAUGCUGGAGAAAUGGCUACUUGAGGAUGCUAAUGCACAAGCUGAACAAGAAGAUCAGUUAAUGGGAAUUGGAAUGGGAAUGGGAAUGACCUUAGCUGAAACUAAUGAUUUGUUUUGAAGAAAAAAAA